This 284-nucleotide unclassified non-coding RNA is filed under the name uncultured Chaetothyriales. RNAcentral's name for it is "sequence contains 5.8S rRNA gene, ITS2, 28S rRNA gene". The stretch from base 1 to 52 matches the Rfam family "5.8S ribosomal RNA", at positions 103 to 154 of the family's 154-position model. Lineage: Eukaryota; Fungi; Ascomycota; Eurotiomycetes; Chaetothyriales. The record is from RNAcentral.
AACGCACAUUGCGCCCAUUGGUAUUCCGAUGGGCAUGCCUGUUCGAGCGUCAUUAUCAACCCUCAAGCCCCUUUGGCUUGGUGUUGGAGACUGGCGGGGCGCAUGCGCCCGGAGCCACUCCCAAAUACAAUGACGGCGGCGACGAUGACCCCCGGUACACUGAGCUUCUCACCGAGCACGUGCUGGAAGGGUCUUGUGGCCACGGUCUGCCUCCCCUCUGGGAGAAACGGAUUUCAUCCACCAAGGUUGACCUCGGAUCAGGUAGGGAUACCCGCUGAACUUAA